This 477-nucleotide ribosomal RNA is filed under the name Gerres macracanthus. RNAcentral describes it as "partial 16S ribosomal RNA". It matches the Rfam family "Bacterial large subunit ribosomal RNA", at positions 1944 to 2568 of the family's 2925-position model. Lineage: Eukaryota; Metazoa; Chordata; Actinopteri; Gerreiformes; Gerreidae. The record is from RNAcentral.
GACCGUGCGAAGGUAGCGCAAUCACUUGUCUUUUAAAUGAAGACCUGUAUGAAUGGCACGACGAGGGCUUGACUGUCUCCUUCCUCCAGUCAAUGAAAUUGAUCUCCCCGUGCAGAAGCGGGGAUUUUUACAUAAGACGAGAAGACCCUAUGGAGCUUUAGACUUUUAAGGCAGACUAUGUUAAACACUCAAGAACAAAAGACCAAACGGUAUACACACUGCCCUUAAUGUCUUUGGUUGGGGCGACCCUGGGGAACUACUAAACCCCCAUGAAGACAGGGAGAACGCACUCCUACAAACAAGAGCCACAGCUCUAGCUUACAGAAUUUCUAACUUAUAUGAUCCGGCCAUGCCGAUCAACGGACCGAGUUACCCUAGGGGAUAACAGCGCAAUCCUCUUUUAGAGCUCCUAUCGACAAGAGGGUUUACGACCUCGAUGUUGGAUCAGGACAUCCUAAUGGGUGCAGCCGCUAUUAA